Long non-coding RNA from Strongylocentrotus purpuratus (purple sea urchin), 550 nucleotides. RefSeq lists it as uncharacterized. Lineage: Eukaryota; Metazoa; Echinodermata; Echinoidea; Camarodonta; Strongylocentrotidae. The record is from RefSeq and is a predicted model, not a curated record. The transcript is spliced from 4 exons.
UUCAGUUUUUAGAGUAGAGCGGAACAGUUUUUUCGGAGAAGACGACGCGAUCAUUCGUCCGUCCUUCGCUAAGUUUACUUCAGCGGUAGACGGGGGUUCAUCACAAUUCCUUUCAAGUGAUCAUGGACAGGUUACAUAUAUUGAUGCUUGUCGUCAUGGUAACACUACUCGGUUUCUUUACAUCGUCUGAUGCUGGGCGUGGAGAUGGAUGCAGAUACUACAGUAAGAUGUGUAAGUACCAAGGCACACGCUAUGAACGCUGGGAUACAUGGUCAACCAAAAAUUGCUACGACUGUACGUGUCUCGGGAAAGGAUACGGGUACAAAUGCUGUCAAGAUUACUGGCUACCGAUGAUCUUUGAUGAAGACCAAUGCGAGGCCGUGUGGGAUAAGAAGACGUGCUCGUACUCAGUCCAACCCAGGAACCCAACAGACACAAAGCCCUGUGAAAUAUUCGCCGGGAUCCUGAAAUAGAUAUAGCGCCAUCUAUAGACAACUACUUUAUUGUAUUUCUUAUUUCUUACAAAGCAGUAUUCAAUAUUAUUAUCUAU